RNAcentral lists this microRNA (22 nucleotides) under Tribolium castaneum (red flour beetle). RNAcentral describes it as "tca-miR-11627-5p". The record is from miRBase by way of RNAcentral. Lineage: Eukaryota; Metazoa; Arthropoda; Insecta; Coleoptera; Tenebrionidae.
ACCCAUCUUCAGACAACUCUGG